GAUGAACGCUGGCGGCGUGCCUAAUACAUGCAAGUCGAGCGAACGGACGAGAAGCUUGCUUCUCUGAUGUUAGCGGCGGACGGGUGAGUAACACGUGGAUAACCUACCUAUAAGACUGGGAUAACUUCGGGAAACCGGAGCUAAUACCGGAUGAUAUUUUGAACCGCAUGGUUCAAAAGUGAAAGACGGUCUUGCUGUCACUUAUAGAUGGAUCCGCGCUGCAUUAGCUAGUUGGUAAGGUAACGGCUUACCAAGGCAACGAUGCAUAGCCGACCUGAGAGGGUGAUCGGCCACACGGGAACUGAGACACGGUCCAGACUCCGACGGGAGGCAGCAGUAGGGAAUCUUGCGCAAUGGGCGAAAGCCUGACGGAGCAACGCAGCGUGAGGGAGGAAGGUCGUCGGAUCGUAAAACUCUGUUAUGAGGGAAGAACAUAUGUGUAAGUAACUGUGCACAUCUUGACGGUACCUAAUCAGAAAGCCACGGCUAACUACGUG
This 497-nucleotide ribosomal RNA is filed under the name uncultured bacterium. Its description in RNAcentral is "partial 16S ribosomal RNA". It matches the Rfam family "Bacterial small subunit ribosomal RNA", at positions 28 to 507 of the family's 1533-position model. The record is from RNAcentral.